Molecule: ribosomal RNA, 404 nt
Filed under: Verrucomicrobiota bacterium
Lineage: Bacteria; Pseudomonadati; Verrucomicrobiota
Description: Verrucomicrobia bacterium partial 16S ribosomal RNA
Rfam family: Bacterial small subunit ribosomal RNA
Source: RNAcentral
UGGGGAAUAUUGCACAAUGGGGGAAACCCUGAUGCAGCGACGCCGCGUGAGCGAAGAAGGCCUUCGGGUCGUAAAGCUCUUUUAUGAGGGAAGAUAAUGACGGUACCUCAAGAAAAAGCCCCGGCUAACUACGUGCCAGCAGCCGCGGUAAUACGUAGGGGGCUAGCGUUGUCCGGAAUCACUGGGCGUAAAGGGCAUCUAGGCGGUAAGACAAGUUGAAGGUGAAAACCUGUGGCUCAACCAUAGGCUUGCCUACAAAACUGUUGAACUAGAGUACUGGAAAGGUGGGUGGAACUACACGAGUAGAGGUGAAAUUCGUAGAUAUGUGUAGGAAUGCCGAUGAUGAAGAUAACUCACUGGACAGAAACUGACGCUGAAGUGCGAAAGCUAGGGGAGCAAACAGG